Molecule: long non-coding RNA, 1547 nt
Filed under: Octopus sinensis (East Asian common octopus)
Lineage: Eukaryota; Metazoa; Mollusca; Cephalopoda; Octopoda; Octopodidae
Description: uncharacterized LOC118766474, transcript variant X1
Source: RNAcentral
ACACACACACACACACCAACACCUUACCCACUCCCACAACUGAGAGCAACAGGAAGGUAGGGACAGUCCUGCUUCAGCGCGCGCGCACACACACACACACACACACACACACUCACUCACUUACACACACACAAACCUACAGGCUGAAAAUCAGCUGGGCAAAAGAUGCAGGAAAAAAAAAGAAAACAGAUCAGAGAGCAUGUUGAUAGGGUAAAAAAAAAAAGAAAAGAAAAGAAAAAAUGACACGCAAAUGUUUAUACAUACGCACACACACACGCGCUGUGUGGAUAUGUAUACAUGCACACACAAACAUACAAACACACGUAUUUGUAAAGAUAUCUCUGUAUGCACGUGAAAGUGUUAUGUAUAUGCACGUAUAUCUAUCUGUCUAUCUGUAUCUGCAUGCAUGUAGAUCGAUCAAGCCGUGAGUUCAGUAAAAGCUUAUAUUUCACAAGUAUAGUCUUCCUUUCUCACCUAUAUAUAUAUAUAUAUAUAUAUAUAUAUAAAAACAUUUAUUAUCUACUGUUCAUAUGGAUCUAUGACUGAAAGCUCCCAAGCUACGCAGCAGUAAAAAAAACACGAGGAAACUGGAAUUCUGUCUCACAAUACACACACACACACACAAAACAAAAAUGAAGUUAGUAUACAUAAAUUAUGAAGGGGUUUGAAGAACCCCUCACCAUCACCAGGGAGUGUUUGAACAAGUCACCAGAACUAUAGCAAAAGACAAUUUUCUAUUGAUUGUUAAAACAGUUAUUGUUUAGCCCAAGGUCAGAACUGACCAAGCAGAGCUAUGAUCAAAAACAUUCCAUCUGAGACCACCCGCUAUUUUUUUUUUUUUACCUAUGUGCACAGAACUCAGGAUCAUACCAUCUAGACCGCUUUUUCUUCAAAGUUGGUAGGAAGUGAUGAGGGAGAUUUGGCUGCUAUUUCCAGCAGGCAGAACGACCAUGUAAAGGCUCCGUCUUUUGCUUCGAACACCUGUGUUUUAGAGAACAAGACAACCCUCUGGUACUGGUAGACAAAUGAAUGGAGACAACAUAGGGUAGAGAGAACUGUUUAGUCUUACAGAGAACAUAACAACCUCUGUAGUGUUGGUGCCAUAGUAAAAAGCACUCUCCACACACUGUAAAGUGGUUAUCUACAGAAAAAAUGCCAAAAAUGGAAUAUGCAAGAGAGAUGUGGUGCCCAACCUAUCUCAUUUAUGCAUGAUACCCUGAUUCAGUUCACAACCUGUACACGCAAGCAGGGAAAGUAAACAAAUAAUGAUGAUGAUCAUGAUAUAACUGUUGGAAACAAGCCAAUAUAGGGGUAGUCAUUGUGUCAAAUGACUUGUUAAAAAUAGCAACUAUAUCUCCCUCAAACUAUAUCCUGCCAUCCAUCUUAAGAUACAUUUGAUAACCUAAUACUGAAUGCAGUGUCUAAAAAACAAAAAUUAAAAAGAUGGGAUGAUUAUAGUUGCAAUAACUUUUGAUUACAGAUGUGCUUGAUCAGAGCUGACAGCUCAACAGAAACCCAUAUCCGUCAUUAGACUGUGGCCAUGCUGG